CCUACGGGAGGCAGCAGUGGGGAAUAUUGCACAAUGGGCGGAAGCCUGAUGCAGCGACGCCGCGUGAGGGAUGACGGCCUUCGGGUUGUAAACCUCUUUCAGUAGGGAAGAAGCGAAAGUGACGGUACCUGCAGAAGAAGCGCCGGCUAACUACGUGCCAGCAGCCGCGGUAAUACGUAGGGCGCAAGCGUUAUCCGGAAUUAUUGGGCGUAAAGAGCUCGUAGGCGGUUUGUCGCGUCUGCCGUGAAAGUCCGGGGCUCAACUCCGGAUCUGCGGUGGGUACGGGCAGACUAGAGUGAUGUAGGGGAGACUGGAAUUCCUGGUGUAGCGGUGAAAUGCGCAGAUAUCAGGAGGAACACCGAUGGCGAAGGCAGGUCUCUGGGCAUUAACUGACGCUGAGGAGCGAAAGCAUGGGGAGCGAACAGGAUUAGAUACCCUGGUAGUCCAUGCCGUAAACGUUGGGCACUAGGUGUGGGGGACAUUCCACGUUUUCCGCGCCGUAGCUAACGCAUAAGUGCCCGCCUGGGGNGACGCGCGAGACGAACGUAACUAAUAGUUAGUUAGUAGNGUUGAGACGNGCGAGGACGACGACGAGGAGAGG
This 601-nucleotide ribosomal RNA is filed under the name uncultured bacterium. RNAcentral describes it as "bacterial SSU rRNA". The stretch from base 1 to 523 matches the Rfam family "Bacterial small subunit ribosomal RNA", at positions 338 to 873 of the family's 1533-position model. The record is from RNAcentral.